Molecule: ribosomal RNA, 253 nt
Filed under: uncultured Allobaculum sp.
Lineage: Bacteria; Bacillati; Bacillota; Erysipelotrichia; Erysipelotrichales; Erysipelotrichaceae
Description: partial 16S ribosomal RNA
Rfam family: Bacterial small subunit ribosomal RNA
Source: RNAcentral
UACGUAGGUGGCGAGCGUUAUCCGGAAUGAUUGGGCGUAAAGGGUGCGCAGGCGGUCCUGCAAGUCUGGAGUGAAACGUAUGAGCUCAACUCAUGCAUGGCUCUGGAAACUGGAGGACUGGAGAGCAGGAGAGGGCGGUGGAACUCCAUGUGUAGCGGUAAAAUGCGUAGAUAUAUGGAGGAACAUCAGUGGCGAAGGCGGCCACCUGGACCGGUAUUGACGCUGAGGCGCGAAAGCGUGGGGAGCAAACAGG